Molecule: ribosomal RNA, 655 nt
Filed under: Rhodopseudomonas palustris
Lineage: Bacteria; Pseudomonadati; Pseudomonadota; Alphaproteobacteria; Hyphomicrobiales; Nitrobacteraceae
Description: bacterial SSU rRNA
Rfam family: Bacterial small subunit ribosomal RNA
Source: RNAcentral
UUACUCCUAGUGGCGCAGCUAACGCUUUUAAGCAUUCCGCCUGGGGAGUACGGUCCGCAAGAUUAAAACUCAAAGGAAUUGACGGGGGCCCGCACAAGCGGUGGAGCAUGUGGUUUAAUUCGACGCAACGCGCAGAACCUUACCAGCCCUUGACAUGUCCAGGGACCGGUCGCAKAKACGUGACCUUCUCUUCGGAGCCUGGAGCACAGGUGCUGCAUGGCUGUCGUCAGCUCGUGUCGUAGAUGUUGGGUUAAGUCCCGCAACGAGCGCAACCCCCGUCCUUAGUUGCUACCAUUUAGUUGAGCACUCUAAGGAGACUGCCGGUGAUAAGCCGCGAGGAAGGUGGGGAUGACGUCAAGUCCUCAUGGCCCUUACGGGCUGGGCUACACACGUGCUACAAUGGCGGUGACAAUGGGAAGCUAAGGGGUGACCCUUCGCAAAUCUCAAAAAGCCGUCUCAGUUCGGAUUGGGCUCUGCAACUCGAGCCCAUGAAGUUGGAAUCGCUAGUAAUCGUGGAUCAGCAUGCCACGGUGAAUACGUUCCCGGGCCUUGUACACACCGCCCGUCACACCAUGGGAGUUGGCUUUACCUGAAGACGGUGCGCUAACCAGCAAUGGGGGCAUCCGGCCACGGUUUGUCACGGAUGGGGGAGGAA